UGAGCGUGACUUGCCAAUCUCGGCUAUGAAUGAUGUUAAACCUUGCGACUCCAAGAAGUGACGAUGUGCAGUGUUUAAUUAAAAUCUAUAAUUAUGUCAAUGCAUGUAAUUUUAGUGACCUGAUGUAUGAGUUGAUUUGUUGCUAAUAUAAAUCAAUAAAGUGUUUAAUUGUGGUUUAAUUCAGUAAAGUUCAGAAAGAUGAAUGUGAGUUUUGUUUUUUUCUUUGUUGUCUCCAGUGAUAAUUAACAUGUCACAUAUCCCCCCGCUCAGUCGCGAUUUUUUGACCGUCCAAGCAGUGGCAGAAGCAAAUUUUUUACAAAGGAGAUCAAAAAAUAUAAAAAUUAAACAUAAAAAAAA
This 357-nucleotide long non-coding RNA is filed under the name Nicotiana tabacum (common tobacco). RNAcentral describes it as "long non-coding RNA (NTAB_LNC003261)". Lineage: Eukaryota; Viridiplantae; Streptophyta; Magnoliopsida; Solanales; Solanaceae. The record is from RNAcentral.